Molecule: long non-coding RNA, 491 nt
Organism: Nicotiana attenuata
Lineage: Eukaryota; Viridiplantae; Streptophyta; Magnoliopsida; Solanales; Solanaceae
Exons: 3
Source: RefSeq, a predicted model, not a curated record
UGCUAUGCCAUGAUCCACAAUUGUGUCGACCAUCGUGCUUAUGUAACUUUAUUAAUUACAAAAUCUCUAUCUCUCUCUUUCGCUACUCUGCUAUUUUCUUCAUGCUUUGGUACUUCAGCAGUUGAAUGAGAAGUUUAUGAUGUCUUAUUUCUUUUAGGGAGUGGUUCAAUUCUUCUGGGCUUCUCUGGAUUUAUAUGUUCUUCUGAUUUUACCUUAUGCUAGCUAAAAUCUUCUAGCAUCUACUGUGUUUGUGAAGUUUGAAUAUCGCAAGUGUGGAGAGAAAACUCUUGCUAAUACAGUGAAACAUGAGAUGGAGAAAAAGAGGAUGAAUAUGCUUAAAUCAUCAUUGCUGGAGAUAUGGUCCAUGCGGCGCAACAAGUUGUCGGAAGAAGAUUAGGGAUUAAUUAGAUUAGAACUUAAUGACCUUGGUAUAUGAUGUUUUUGUUCUUUUUGUAAAUAAAAGCAUACAUUUUGGGAGAUUUAUAUUUUGA